This 490-nucleotide ribosomal RNA is filed under the name uncultured bacterium. Its description in RNAcentral is "partial 16S ribosomal RNA". It matches the Rfam family "Bacterial small subunit ribosomal RNA", at positions 30 to 507 of the family's 1533-position model. The record is from RNAcentral.
AUUGAACGCUGGCGGCAGGCCUAACACAUGCAAGUCGAACGGUAACAGGAAACAGCUUGCUGUUUCGCUGACGAGUGGCGGACGGGUGAGUAAUGUCUGGGAAACUGCCUGAUGGAGGGGGAUAACUACUGGAAACGGUAGCUAAUACCGCAUAACGUCGCAAGACCAAAGAGGGGGACCCUCGGGCCUCUUGCCAUCGGAUGUGCCCAGAUGGGAUUAGCUUGCUGGUGGGGUAACGGCUCACCAAGGCGACGAUCCCUAGCUGGUCUGAGAGGAUGACCAGCCACACUGGAACUGAGACACGGUCCAGACUCCUACGGGAGGCAGCAGUGGGGAAUAUUGCACAAUGGGCGCAAGCCUGAUGCAGCCAUGCCGCGUGUAUGAAGAAGGCCUUCGGGUUGUAAAGUACUUUCAGCGGGGAGGAAGGGAGUAAAGUUAAUACCUUUGCUCAUUGACGUUACCCGCAGAAGAAGCACCGGCUAACUCCGUG